This is a non-coding RNA of Chiloscyllium plagiosum (whitespotted bambooshark), 2316 nucleotides long. The record is from RefSeq and is a predicted model, not a curated record. NCBI's taxonomy places the organism in Eukaryota, Metazoa, Chordata, Chondrichthyes, Orectolobiformes, Hemiscylliidae.
UUGUGAUUUUUAACUUUAGCUUUGUGAUAGUCAUCUCUUUAAGGGAAUUCUGCAACAAUCUGACUUCAGCUAUUUCAACCAAUCUGAACUGUAACCAGGAGUGAAUGAGGACACAUUUUUCUACUGGGCCUGCAGCAACUGAUGUCCUACAACAAAUCAAACUCCUGAAUUGAUGAAAUGGAAAAUGGUUUGGACCAUGGCUGCAAGGACGCUAUGUACAAGGCUCUGGAUAAGGGGACAAAAGGCGUAUCUGAUGCGGACCUCAUCUGAUCGCCACCUUUGUGUGUGGCUACAUCAAGCUGUGUGUAGACCCUCAGUACUUUGUCAAUACAUUGAUGUUUUGAAAAUGGUUUACGUUACAGAAGAGCAAGUGCUUGAGCUCUUAGAAAACAUAAAGACACAGAGAUGCCCAAGACCAAACAGAACAAGGGAGUAGCUGGUAGUGAGAUGUUAAAGAAUAAUUGGGUGAGAACUUGACCAGAUGUGUAUACAUGGAGGGACUUGUUAUUGUGAGUUGGAAUAAAACUCUGACUAGAACACUGGAGUCUGUCAAACCCAACCUUCAGCCUCUUGUAAAACAUGUAAAACACACCGCAAUAAAUAAGCUUUCAAAUGUUAUGAUAAUUUUAUGGCAUGUCAUAUUUUGGUUGACUUGUAAAAAAGAAAAAAUAUAUAUUUUUCUUAAAAAAUACACUCCUCUGUUACCUUACAUAUUUAGGAACUGAGGAGCUUGAGAAUCAAUUUCAACAAAGUGCAACACAGCUGUAUCAAGGCCCAGUAUAAAGGGCUGUGCAGGCCAUUCCACCCAAGACGUAUAAUAUUCACAAUAUUGGAUUGGGGUCCCCGGAUGUUCCUGAAUGUGUUGAAAUGUAUUAAAUUGCGGAAAGAAAUCUCUAUGCUCUACAUGAAACUGUGAACAGGAUCCCCCUCCUCCUUCCCAUUGCCUGGAUUAGCAUUGAAGAGUCUGUUGGAAUGACAAUACAACCUUUUCUUUCUUAUAGUCAUUCUCUGUUAUCUUUAGGAGAUGUUCGCUGUCUGUAAGUGGCAUAAACGAAACCUGUUUCCAACUCCAUACCACACAAAAAUUUAAGUGGCACCAUGUGAAGGCUACAUGUCUGUUAUUAUAGUGAACAAGCAGCACAUAAUUCAAUAUGGAUGCUGCAACCACAAAGAGUCAUGCAUCUGACUCCCUGUUCUCUCCAUUUCAGUCAUGAUCAAAUUCUAAGGCUAAAUUAUCAGGUUUUAAUCGACUGUUUUUGUAGGUGUGUGGUGGUUGAAAUCAUUGGCUAACUUAAAAAUUUCCUAAGAUGUUCAGAAUUUAAAGGGUUAAUUAUCUUUCCAACUGAACACAGAGGUGUUAAUCCAAUUGCUUUGAUAGUCUGACAUAUUUUCCACAUUUCCUUCCAGUUUCUGUGUAAUUUUGACUUGUUUAUUUUCAAGUGGCACAUUUAGCAUCCAUAAUACAUGACGUUGUGCUGUGUAAAAUGUGACAGCAAGUCUGUAUUAAAACACUGCUAAAUCAAUGAUGUACUGCUGACAGCAUCUCGAGAAACUCAGGCCACAGCCGACUGCAGCCAGCUCCUGCCUAACUGAUUGUUUCUAAUACUGAAAUGACACUGUUGAGGUCAAGUAAAUAAAUAUGCAUGCAUCCCCAGUUCAAAUUAAUAAAAUUCCAAUGUGUGGAGCCUGCUUGUUGAACAUAUGUUAGAAGCAUGGCUAAGCCAUCUGGCUUUGUGUCAAACAUUUACACCAACUGCAGUCUUACACUACCUGACAGCGGAAAAGCUUUAUUCCCAUGGUGUUUGGGCACAAAUGGAGAAAUAUUAUUGAAAUGAUUAUCUGCAUCAAGACUCAGAUUUGGUUUGACAUUUUGCUGGCUCUGUGUAAUCCAAAGGUCUGUCUGCUAGAAUGAAGAAAGGGUCCGCCAAUAAGCUGGCAGUAACUGCGGAGAGGACUAGAUGAUUAAUGAGGCUGAAAGACUGGUUGUACCCAACCCACCUCCACUCAGACCUGAGGGCCAGAAAAUGCAUAUGAAAUUGGUCUUAAGCUUUACAUGUUUUCUCCAGAGAAUGCUUUAGCUAGCUCUCACUGGGUACUCAAAACCCACCCGAAUUACAGUAUGGUAAGAAAAAGAAAACACCAGAAUUUACAUUAACUUCUAAUUUUGAACGUUGAAUAAAACUGCUAAAGCCAGCCAGUUCAUGGAUCUGUUACACUGCUGGUAUCUAAUUUAACAAUUGAAACACAUCAAAAUUCAUAAUGAAGGUAGUGAUUUAAAUGUUUAUCUUGUAAGGAUGACAUAAUUAACUUUUUUUU